Molecule: non-coding RNA, 101 nt
Organism: Acanthosepion pharaonis
Lineage: Eukaryota; Metazoa; Mollusca; Cephalopoda; Sepiida; Sepiidae
Source: the annotation of a GenBank genome assembly
GGCAUUGAAACACCGAUUCUCAUAUGAUCACUGAAGUUAAGCUACGUAAAGCCUGAACAGUACCUAAAUGGGUGACCGCUUGUUAAUACUAAGUGCUGUAA